GUUGGUUGAGCAGAAAGGACUGUGGGGGAAGUGAGGAGACAGUUGGAGAGAGAAGGGUUAGGGAUGAGAAAGCAUAGUGGAGCUCGGAGGGGGCACUGGCUUCAGAAGGAUGAUCAAUACGAGAUCAAAGGAGCAACUCAAGGGGCUACCAAGAAUACCACAGUGGUGCAAAGUCAUUGAAACCCUGGCUGACUUGAAAGAGAAGUCACAGUGACAUUGAAAACCAGCCAGAUGAUGGCAGACAGCUGUCUUCUCAGGGACACAGAGAGGAGCCUGGCAGGCCCUGAGUGAGCAGGUUGACAUGUGAUGGUAAACGCACAGGGCGUGGGUCUUGGAGCAGUUCUGCUGGCGCCAUGAAUCAAGCUUCUGUGUGCUGCUUCCGCUCCUUGGUGUGCAUGGCUGGAGAGGACCAGGAGGAGACAGAGGAUGAGGUCUCCCACCAGGAGCUGUGAGCCUCCAGGGCUGGGCCUGGGGACACCUGUUCCUGAGAGAGAUUGGGGGCAGUGACUGGCUUCUGGGAAGUGCCUGGGAUCUGCAGGACACCACCUUGGCCCUGGCCUGGAGGCGUCCACAUCCUUGUGCACAUCCACAUCCGGGUCUGCCUCCAGGGGCAGCAGUGGGGAGCGCUGGCUGGGGUCUCCAGGGACGUCUUUUGGCUCAGCCUCUGUGCUUCCUGUGUGAGCCACGUGGAAAACCACUGGGUCAGAGCAUUCCUGGGGUGGCCAGGGUCCCACUGCAGGUUCCUGGAAUGGUCUCUGAACCCAGAGAGCCAGGGUGUUCCUGUGGCCUCGACACAUGCUAGCUGUGUCACAUAGGAAGAGUUGUCUAAUCCACCCUGUGGCCCAAUCUGAGAUCACAACAGUCCCAACUUGAUUGGAUGGCUGUGCGAUUUAAAUGGCGUGAUGUGUGUGAACAGUUCUUUUGAACAGGGUUCCUUUUAUUUAUAAAAAUAUGGAAAAGCAGUUGGGCUAAUCCCUAAAGAGGACACGACCUCAAUAUCCCUGAGUGUCUUCAGAUUGAGAGGUGUUGAUGAGUGGACAUGAGGGAUUCAUGAACUCUCUCAAACCCGAAGUCUCCAUAUUUACAACCAUAGUAAAUGCAUUGCUCCCCCUGCCCCCCGGGAUGGGACCUGUAACUUAGCUAGGAUGCUAAGAGGGCUGAUAACUCCAAGUGGAUACCCAGGGAUCUCAAAUGUCUGUAUUCUAGACCACAGUUGCUUAGUCUUGGCAAUGUUGAAAUUUGGGGCCAAAUGAUAUUUUGUCAUGUGUGUGGGGCUUUCCUGUGUCUCGUUGGGUGAGCGGCAGCAUCCCUGGGUCUACUCCCUAGAUGCCAGCAGCACUUCCCCACCCUACCCCUGCCCUGUGUUUAACAAUGAGAAUUGUCUCCAGACCUUACUAAAUGUCCCCAGAGAGGGAGAGUGGGACAAAAAUCAUCCCAGACGGAGAACUGCUGGCUCGCCAUGUUCCCUGUGGGGUGGGCCUUCUGGAAGUGGUUGUAGCCUGCUGUGGCAAAAUGUAACAACCUCUCUUUUUCUGAGCCCUGCUAAUCUCUGCCUACUUCUGUCCACUGAUCGGAGGACCCAGAGAGAGUCCUGGGAAAGCACUACAGACUUUCCAAACUCCAGCCCUGUUUGAAAUAAAGCAGUGGUUUUCACACCUGGCUGGGGAGCCAAGUCACACGGAACAGUUCUUAUUACUCAAACUUCAAGUUGUUUUUUUCCCCCACAGCAUUAAAUGCAACAUAGAUUUUAUACACCUUAAACUGUCAGGUAAAAGAUGAGCUGCAGUGAAAAUGGAACAAGGAAUUCCAAUGAAACAAGAUCUUGAGGUGACUGUCUUUGUUUCGAGAUAGACCCAAGAGUUAGUGAAUCCUUGCUCAGGAAGACACCAGAGAAGGCUCCUAUGGACAGCGCUUGGCAGGAAACAAAGUGGGGAGAAGAGGUGGAAGCACUUGAGGUGCUCCCUAUUUAAGUGGUGGUUUGAGUGCACUCUGAGAAAAGGGCCGGCCAAACUCCUUUUGGGGCCCUUAUAUUGGUUUUUGAUGCUUUUUAUUAUGUUGAAUUAUCCUCCCUAGACGAGUCAGGGUCUGCUCUUCUCUUGUGUGGCUUCUUAUACAUCAGUGCUGUCAUCUCCCCAGUAAUCCCAUCUCUGGGAUGUGCUGGUGUUCAGGAUCAAAGCGUGCUCCUCCAUUCCUGGAAGCUUUUUGCCUAAUCUCCUUGGGGAGCUUACUUUAGUGCAGGCCUGCAGUGGUGGGUUUACAGCACAGUAGCUUCUCCCUGCCUCUGAUACAUGGGGCAGAGCAAUGGAAUAAAGCCUUGGAAAUGUGGUUGGUGCAACAAAAGCUCCUCUGGGUCUUAGCAUAAGGGAACCAGGUAUGAGCUUUUGCCUUGAGUCGGUCAAAGACCACAGGUGUAAACUAAGAGCAUGCAAUUGAGUUCUCAGGGGUGUAUUUCACUACUGAGUAUGGUCAUGCGGGCCUCCUUUUUGAUUUUGUGGAUGUGGGCCAUCAUUUACACAACUGACCCUGUGAUUGACACUGAGGAUUCUACCCAGUGUCUUGCAAUAGUGUGACCAUGUCACAACGAAUGUAGCACACAUAGAUGUAUUGGGGUGGGUAAGGCGCAUGUACUCCAGCAGUGCUGCUGGCUGCUCUAUAUGUUGAAGGGGCUGUCUGCAGAGCAAGUGCGGCUGUCACCGUGGAACUCUUUGUACGAUGAUCACAUGCAUACUGCAGGUCAUCACAGAUGUGUGGUAUCGGAGUCUGACUUUCUAUUUGAAUGUGAUAAUCCGCAGAGCUGAGGUAUCGGGCUUGGAAGUCACUGUACAUGGCUCUUCUGGGAAAACAUUUCUUAAAACUGGGCAUACUGCACAGAGCAUUGCUGUGGUACAAACCUUCAGUAACAGUGUGCAGCCCUCUCGCACUGUGCUUGAGAACAUCCUUCUCUCUUCUGGUGCAGCCCCAAGCCCAUGAUUCUCUCUUAGAAGAGCCAAGGAUGGAUGCUGAGGACCAGAGGAAGCUGAUGUUUGGACUGACCUGAGAUUUUGCCCCCUUCAGGAGCUGCACUGCUUCCUCUUUGACACUCUGGCAUAGUGGUUUUUAUGCACUUUAUCUGCAGAAGCAAAGAGUUUCAGCAAAGCACAGGGAAGAGGUCACGAGAGGCCUCAGGUGAGCCCCAGACAAGGUGUGGCGCUUCCUCAGCAGUGCUGUCCUCUGUCCAUGCUCAGCACUCCAGUGAGGGGGACUCAUUGCUGUGGUCAGAAGAAACAGCUUGGGCGGGGGGUAGUCUGUAUGCUGGUCAAAACACUUUGUUUUUUUAAUAACAAACCUCAGGCCAUGGUUCGCAUGUAUCAUCUUGGGUAAACAGAUGUUCUUAUUUAGGAAAGCACAGAUUGUGUCUUCUCAGGACAGUUUGAAGGGAGCAGUGGGUGGAAGCAAGGGAGGUGCAGGAAGUCCUCCUGUCGGGGUGAUGGUCUUUCUGGUGAGGACAGCCAUAUGGGUCUUGAUCACAAGACUUGCGGAAAUGUAGAUGGGUAGCCUGUGGCAUCUAGCUUUUCGGAGGAGAAGAGUUUCUUGUACCUGUUGGUGGGCUCCCUGCUUGUGGCAGAUAGGAAGUGUGUGGGGCUUCCGGUCUUGAAGAGAGAGACUGCAGAUUGGUUGGGUGGUGGUCCUGGGGAGACGCCCCACUCUGGGGCUUGGCCAGAACUCUGAGGGGGUAUAGGACACCUUCAGGAAGUCUAUAAUGACUGCUGGUGCUCAGAGCUGCUCUGGGGCACAAUUGUUGAAUGGUCCUUUUUGUGUUCUAAGUUGGAAGUUCCCAUCUUCCGUGUGGCAAGAGCUCUUCGACCCUCCUGUGCCAGGAAGCAGAGUUCCUGGGUGCUCCCGUCAAGACCGGACCAGUGAAUUCUAUCAGACCUUUCUUGUUUUCCUAACUUAUUCUCCGGGUCUUGGGUCUGAUCUUUGUUCAUUCUCACUCCCACAAGCAGCUUCUUCUCUUUCUUUUUCCUGGCCAGCUGUCUGCUGCCAACGCCACUUGCUCCCAGUGGCCUCCCCAGGGGUUGGCACAGUUUUGCCUGCACUUUCCAAAUGAAAAUCGCCACUGCAGAAAAAGCACCAGGCCUCCUUUCUUCCUUUGCUCGAUCCUCCAGGUCUUGCUGAGUUGACUGAGCUUCUCAUUCUGGGCUGGAAGGCUGAAUCUUUUUUGUGGCUGCUUUGUCUCUUUCUGACCUUGUUUUGUGUUGCAGAAGCUUGACUUGCUGCUCAUACCCCCUCACAACCUGCCCCGAAUGGUAUUUUAUUUAACAGAGAGCAAGGACUUCGUACAUAUCCAUUAUCAGUGCCUUGGAAACAAAACAACUUUAGAAGUUAGCAGCAGUUUCUGCAAAUAUAAAAAUACACAUUUAUUAUAUCACAUGUGGCAAUAAAAUUUAUCCAGCUCCCGCUUCAUCCAUACAGCUUGCUGUCCACAUCUUAAAGUGAUUGUUAAUUUGAUUUUGACUAAUAAGCAGGUCAUUGAAUAAGGAAAGAUGCUACUUCUGCCUUUUUGAGUUCUACCUGACCGUCAGUCAGAGUCUUCCUGUAGCACACAAAUGAUGACUGAAAUGUACAGAGUCCAUGCUAGCAUAAGGACUUUCUCAAGUGCUCGGCUGUUUUUGGAGGGUAUUAUCCAAGAUAAGAGACAGAGCACACCUCCUUUCUGGUAGUGUUUUCAUUUUCUUCUUGUUGCCCGGGCCUCCUGUCAGUGAGGAGGAGUGGGUGCUAUCCCCUUAGAAUCUCCUGCUGAGGGGACAUUACUUCCAUGCAGAAAAUCUUCAAGUAAGUCCAAGCUCAGGAGGAGGCUACAUGGUCACAUCCCCUGGAGGGACGAAGACGAGGUAGUUGAGGCAUGGCUGCCAUGUCAGGAGGGCGACCCGCCUCCCAUCAGGGCCCUGCGCUCUGGGCUGGAGGUGAGUGCAGUGCGACUGCCAGUCCUGGAUGGACUUCUAAAGGCUUGUGUGAGGUUUCUCUUGGCUAUGCUCCUGUCCUGCGGUUCCUGCAAUGGCACAGUGAUACCUCAUCUCUCUGUUGGGAGGGGAACAGGGUGCCUGUUUGGAAAGACAGUGGACAAUGUUCGCUUGGGAUCAUGAUCUGACUUGUCAGGUUUCGUAUUUUGUCACCCUGAAAUUCAACUGUUUUCUGACCAUGUUGAAUGCCAAGGGAAUGUGCAUGUACAGAGUGGUGUGAGCAACAACUGGUGGGACUAGAAGGUGGAGGUGUUUAACACUCACUCCAAUCUCUUGUUGGUUGGGGGAUAUCCUGGGGGGGUGUGGGGGGGAUGGUGCUGCAGAUCUCUGGCUGCUGGCCUGUUUGACCAUUUCUCUCUCCGCCUUCAUUCUUGCCUUUGGCUCUUUACCUCCUUAACAACAAACCAGGCUGUGGUUCUCACUGCUCUGUCUUCGAUGAAACCUCCCAUCUUCUUAAGAGUCCUGACUUCAGUGAUAUUUGUGGCACUCAGUACUGAGAAAAAUCAUAUAGGAGAGGAAGUCUGGAGGAGUCCCUUCCUCAGGCCUUCCAGAGGAUCACAAGGUGAGAUGGGGAGUCCCUUCCCUAGGCUGCCUCUCUGGGAACAGCUUGUACCCCCUUGGCUUAUCCUUUCUGCCUAUUGCAGGAAGCCCAGGGUAAUGCCCCCCAUGUCCCACAGUCACCAUGUCAGAAGCAAGAUGGGGUUCUCAAGCGUCCCCAGUUGCAGUGAACUCCAGGGGUUUUUCUGAUUUAGAGAAUGGGUUAGUGACUAGGAAGGACUCUUAACAACUUUCCUUUGGUUUUUAAAAUUAGCAUUCAGAAACCUUGAUUAUAUUUUCCUCUCUGACAAAUCGUAGCAAUUGCCUCUGAGGGGAGUUGGUGAGAAUUUUAGGUGGCUUUGUAGCAUUUACUAAGACAGAUCUGUCUGUCCCCUGUUCACAUCAGAGGUGUUAGGGCUGUCGGGCUGGCUAUCGGGGGCUCAUUUCUCUGUCUGCAUUCAAGAGGGGCAGGCUGGCCUCAGGAAUCUGCACCCUGAAAUUGGUGCGGUCACGUACGUCACGGGCUUGGUUUAAUUCUCUGCUGUUCCUGACUUGAAAUUCUUUUUUUUUGGUACCGGGGAUUGAACUCAGGUCCUUGCACUUGCGCAGCAGGCAGUGAAACCACUGAGCUAAAUCCCCGGCCCAUGACUUGAAAUUCUUAAUUUCUGAAUGGGGUCCCACCUCUUCCUUUAGCGCAGGACCCUACAAAUCACUCCCUUGGCUCUGAAGGGGCUGGCUCAGAGCAGAAGUGGGUCCAUGCUGGAUUACUGAGGGAAGCUGUGAGGAAGGCAGCCCUCAGGAAUGGAGGGAGAAGGAGCUGUCAGGGUGAGUUGAGAACAGAGAGGAAGUGGUGGACAAUGAGACUAAGGGGCUGUCAGAACAGGAUGGGCAGGACGGACGAGAGGCCGCAUGGGAUUCCAGAAGGCAAGGAUUUUGGUGCUGUGAUCUGCUGAUCAACAGGCGGGGCUCUGUGGGGCCGGAUCACUCUGACCCUCAGCGUGUGCGUGCAAUGCAUGGCCUGUAGCAAUGCUCAAAAAAAAAAAGUUCUUAGUGAACAGCUUCAUGUCUGAGGUGAAUGUGUUUCUCUGACAAGCAGCAAGUGGUACUGACCUUGUGGAUGACUUAGUCUUUGGAGGAGUUUUCUUCUCUUGGCUUCUGCUAUACCCUCUCUCCCACUCUGCAUUCUUUGGGUCCCUUCCAAGUCCAAUUUUCGUCCAUCCCCGUCACCUUGGGUUUUGUGGCUUUCUCACUCACGUACCUUAAAAUGUCCACUGAAAGCACGACACUGUUGUGCUGACCACUUCCGUCACUUCCAGCCUAUUUCUGCAUUAUUUGUGGCGCUCCCCACCCAGCCAACACUCCCACUCUAUCUGCACAAUGGAACAGAUCCUUUGGUCAAGGUAAGUGGUCUAUAAAUAGCCCAUCGGCUUUCAUCACCACUCCUACCAGAAUAUCCUAUCCAGCCCAAACCGGCUCCCCUGUCCUGGGUGCUGCUCCUCGGAGCCAACUCUCCUGGCUCUUACUUCCUGCGGGUUUGCUGGGAAAAAAAAAAAAAAUCCCAGGAUGAGACCUGGGCAGGAAGGCAAGAUGCUGGGAGCCCAGGGGAGGGGCUCUGUGGAGUGUCGGCAUCAACUUUGUCCUGGGCACUUGGGGCUCUUGGAGCCAGCAGGGUUGGGGAGCUAACAGGAUUCUUUUUAGGGGGAAGGCAUGGAACUCCAGCGCAGAGGGUUGAAUUAAGCACACAGUUCAUGCCAGAUUGUGAUCCAUGGUUGGUUUCUCAUUCCUGUACCUAUCUUGCCAUCCACUGUAGGAAACUGAUCUGUUAUCUCACUGUAUAUCUUUCUUUACUGCUGUAACAAAGAGCGCUAUUUGUGUACGGACACCUUUAAUUCACAUAGAUAGUGUUGUUCUACCACUUCUGAUUCUCUUUUCUUUCUCACUCGGCUAUGUUUUAAGAUAGGCCCUUCCCCUGUAUAGGCUUAAAACUUCCUGAAAUUACCCAAAGAGCUUUUGUUUAUGUGGGUUAAGCCUAUUGAUAUUUGCUGCAUUAGAAAUUAAAAGGGAGACAUUUAAAAUAUUUAUUUGCUGAUCCAUUUGAAAGUAGCAAUGUGGAACACAUUGCAUGUUAACAUAAAUAAGGUUUUAGCUAGAUUAUAAAAAUAGUCUUGCCCUUGGAGAAUCCCUGUCCUAAUUUUCAGUGUGUUCCACAAUAUAAAAGAGCACCAUGAAGGACAAAACCUAGGAAGUAAAUUUUAUUUUUGUUGCUUUAUAAUACCUAUGUUAAGAAACUGAAAUGGGUUAAAUUUUAGUCAACUCUGCUCAAGUUUGUGGGCCUUGCCCUCUUAGCUACUGAUUGGUACCAUUGCCUGUAAUAGGAAAGACUGUCUGGAUAGCAGAAAUUCUAUCUUACUAGAAUACUUUUUGGUGUUUUAUGUUGAAUUUGUCAUGUCCUAGAAUAGAUUAUUUUAAAACACAAAGAACAAAAAUUUUUCGUGUAAGAGGAAACUAUAUGUAUAGUUCUAUUUAUUUCACUUAUUUUGCAAGCCAUGCUUAUGUAGGCAGCUUUUAUUUAAAGGCUGAGAUACUGCAGUUUUUGAAGAGUGCAGGUCCAUGGUUUUCAGUAUAUUAUUGGGCUAUGCAAACAUUAUCACUUUCUAAUUCUAAUUGUAAAAUAUUUUCCAAAAUGAAAUUUCAUAUUUUCUUCCUACCCUCAGCCUGUGGCAACCCCAAUCUACUUUCUGUCUCUAUGCUUUUGCCUAUUCUGGACAUGUUAUACAAAUGGGAUUAUAUAAUGAAAAGCUUUUAUAUCUGGUUCCUCUUAAUUGGUGUAAUGUUUUCAAGGUUCAUUCAUGACAUUGCAUGGAUCAGUACUUCAUUCCAUUGAUAGCUGAGUAAUAUUCCACUGUAUGGAUAUACCUCAGUGUAUUUCUCCAUCACUGGAUGGGCACUGGAUUGUUUUUAUUUUUUGGCCAUUAUGAAUAAUGCUAAGAAUGUAUACAAGUUUUUAUAUGGAUGUGUUUUUGAUACUCUUGGAUAUGUUUAUUUUUAAAUGUUUCCUUAUCAGUUAAAUGGAUAACCGAGGCUUGUGUCUUCGACACCCAUGACCAUGUGUUAACCUGGUGUCCAAUUCUCCUGACAACUGUUCAGGUCUUGCCUUCCCAAGACAGAUAUAAAGAAAUGAAGGAAAUUGCAGGAUAUUCUCGUACCUAUAAUGAAUGACCUUUGAGAUUUCCCAGCAAAGCCCUGGAAAAUCACAAAGAUUUGUUCUUUCACAAAGAGAUAUUAGAAGUAAUUGUUUGAUUUGUCUGUACUAUAAGAUCUACAUGAAGGGGCUGGGGACUUAGUCAGUGGUUCUGCUGUCUGCCUCGCAAGUGCAAGGUCCUGAGUUCAAUCCCCGGUACAAAAAAAAAAAAAACAACUCUACGUGAGAAGAGUUGUCAGAUCAGAACAGAUGUUCAGCCUUGCUCAGGUUAAACUUAUGCAGGCCAAAUGGUAUUAAUAAAUGAUUAAAUAUUUUAGAAAUUGGGCCGGGGGGAUGUAGCUCAGUGGUUCUGCCACCUGCCUCGCAAGCACAAGGUCCAGAGUUUGAUCCCCAUUACCAAAAAAAAAAAAUUUUAGAAAUUGUAUGUUCUAUGGGAAGUCAAAUCCCUCACUGCCCAUAUUUUUACUCUCAGGAGACACACUGAUAGAGAAAUUUAUUCUCAUAUUAUUAGUCAUAGUAAUAAAUUAACCAUGGUCAUGAAGUCUCUGUUUACAGGUAGUGCUUUGAUUGUUUUCAUGUUUACCUGAAGGCUUUUUUCUGAGCUACAGGCUGCAGCUGUGUCUUCAAUGGAAAAGGACACAAAGGCUCUUGGUAAAUGACUGUGGCAGGGAGCUCAAACUGUCCCCAUGUUAAAGAACAGACUCAUGUGUAUUGGCUUCUGAGCUGACAUCACUUAAGCAACUCUCAGAUUAUCCCCACAGAUUGAGUCAGGAUUUCCAGAAUAUUUCCUAAUCCAGAAGCAGACUACUUUCCUGAGAGCAGACUGCUAAUCCAAGAUCCAGUAGAGCUAGAAGUCAUUCCACAGAACAGCAUGAAGUGAUGCAGGAAUGUCAUUUUGGUUGUUUAUUUAAACUGUUGUUAAUGUUGCUUUAAAGUGUUCUAUUUUGGGGCAGAGGGGGCCUCUUCUCUUUUUAGAUCCCUGUAACCCACAACAAUUUUGUGGA
Heterocephalus glaber (naked mole-rat) is the source of this 9743-nucleotide long non-coding RNA. RefSeq lists it as uncharacterized. The record is from RefSeq and is a predicted model, not a curated record. NCBI's taxonomy places the organism in Eukaryota, Metazoa, Chordata, Mammalia, Rodentia, Bathyergidae.